AGGUUGGCUCAGAAGCAGCCAUCCUUUAAAGAGUGCGUAACAGCUCACUAGUCGAGUGAUCCUGCGCCGAAAAUGUACCGGGGCUAAGCCUGAUACCGAAACUGCGGAUUGUAGGAAACUAUAGUGGUAGGGGAGCGUUGUAUACGAGCAGAAGCCGUACCGUGAGGAGCGGUGGAUUGUAUAGAAGUGAGAAUGCCGGUGUGAGUAGCGAGAUGUAGGUGAGAAUCCUACACACCGAAAGCCCAAGGAUUCCAGGGGAAGGUUCGUCCGCCCUGGGUAAGUCGGGACCUAACGCGAGGCCGAAAGGCGUAGUGGAUGGAAAGCAGGCGAAAGAUUCCUGCACCCGUAUAUGGAGCGAAGGAGUGACGGAGACGGAUAGUGUGACCCUCUUAAUGGAUUGAGGGCGAAGCGAAGCGGCUGGUUACCAGGCAAAUCCGGUAACCAUAAGGCUAGAGCGUGACAGGUAAGCGAAAUCUUAGGAAAGUAGCGAAGCACAUGAUGACGGCUUCCAGGAAAAGCUUCUGGCAAUGCAUAUGCGGCCCGUACCAAAACCGACACAGGUGGGCAGGGAGAGAAUCCCGAGGUGAGCGAGAGAACUGUUGCCAAGGAACUCGGCAAAAUGACUCCGUAAGUUAGCGAGAAGGAGUGCUUAAGCAAUUAAGCCGCAGUGAAGAGGCCCAAGCGACUGUUUAACUAAAACACAGCUCUCUGCGAAGUCGCAAGACGAAGUAUAGGGGGUGACACCUGCCCGGUGCUGGAAGGUUAAGAGGAUCUGUUAAGAGCGAUCUGAAGCAGUGAUCCGAAGCCCCAGUGAACGGCGGCCGUAACUAUAACGGUCCUAAGGUAGCGAAAUUCCUUGUCAGGUAAGUUCUGACCCGCACGAAAGGUGUAACGAUUUGGGCGCUGUCUCGGCAGCAGACUCGGUGAAAUCUUAGUACCUGUGAAAAUGCAGGUUACCCGCAACUAGACGGAAAGACCCCAUGGAGCUUUACUGCAGCCUGAUAUUGAAUUCUGGUCAUACAUGUACAGGAUAGGUGGGAGACAAAGAGACGUGCACGCCAGUGUACGAGGAGUCGACGUUGGGAUACCACUCUUGUGUGACCGGGGUUCUAACCUGGUAUCGAGAACAGGUACGGGGAGAGUGUCAGGUGGGCAGUUUGACUGGGGCGGUCGCCUCCAAAAGAGUAACGGAGGCGCUCAAAGGU
RNAcentral lists this ribosomal RNA (1205 nucleotides) under human gut metagenome. Its description in RNAcentral is "bacterial LSU rRNA". It matches the Rfam family "Bacterial large subunit ribosomal RNA", at positions 1098 to 2317 of the family's 2925-position model. The record is from RNAcentral.